AGGGUUCUUGUUGGAACUGGGCGCGCAUGUUUUGAGACAUUAAGGCCACUGGCUUAUAGUCUACUGGCAGAGAUUGUUCACCAUGUUCGGGGAGACCUCACGUUAUCACAGCUAUCGCGGAUAAUUUAUCUGUUCUCAAGUAACAUGCAUGAUGCUUCAUUGUCACUAAGUAUUCAUACUACUUGUGCUCGGCUGAUGUUGAAUCUGGUUGAGCCAAUUUUUGAGAAAGGCAUUGACCAGCAUUCCAUGGAUGAAGCACGGAUUCUAUUGGGUCGCAUUUUGGAUGCUUUUGUCGGGAAAUUUAGUACUUUCAAGCGUACCAUUCCUCAG
This is a long non-coding RNA of Pistacia vera, 330 nucleotides long. RefSeq lists it as uncharacterized. NCBI's taxonomy places the organism in Eukaryota, Viridiplantae, Streptophyta, Magnoliopsida, Sapindales, Anacardiaceae. The transcript is spliced from 4 exons. The record is from RefSeq and is a predicted model, not a curated record.